Molecule: ribosomal RNA, 497 nt
Filed under: uncultured bacterium
Lineage: Bacteria
Description: partial 16S ribosomal RNA
Rfam family: Bacterial small subunit ribosomal RNA
Source: RNAcentral
GACGAACGCUGGCGGCGUGCCUAAUACAUGCAAGUUGAGCGCUGAAGGUUGGUACUUGUACCAACUGGAUGAGCAGCGAACGGGUGAGUAACGCGUGGGGAAUCUGCCUUUGAGCGGGGGACAACAUUUGGAAACGAAUGCUAAUACCGCAUAAAAACUUUAAACACAAGUUUUAAGUUUGAAAGAUGCAAUUGCAUCACUCAAAGAUGAUCCCGCGUUGUAUUAGCUAGUUGGUGAGGUAAAGGCUCACCAAGGCGAUGAUACAUAGCCGACCUGAGAGGGUGAUCGGCCACAUUGGGACUGAGACACGGCCCAAACGCCUACGGGAGGCAGCAGUAGGGAAUCUUCGGCAAUGGACGAAAGUCUGACCGAGCAACGCCGCGUGAGUGAAGAAGGUUUUCGGAUCGUAAAACUCUGUUGGUAGAGAAGAGCGUUGGUGAGAGUGGAAAGCUCAUCAAGUGACGGUAACUACCCAGAAAGGGACGGCUAACUACGUG